GUGCCACCAACUGGUGGAUAGCUCUUUGCUAAUAAUAAACAAAUAAUUUGCAAUAAAUAAAUAACGCGACUAUAAGGAGAGUUAUAAACUAUCCUAUCUUUCAAGUUGGACCAAACUGCACACAGUGUUAAAAAUUUCAUUAAAAUCGGUUCAGUAGUUUAGGAGUCCAUCGAAAACAAACAACGUGACACGUGAUUUUUAUAUAUUAAGAUAUAUCUAUAUAUAUAAAAUUAAGUGGCAAAACUUCCUGUUCGCAUACUCCUCCUAGACGGCUUGCCCGAUUUCAAUGAAAUUUUCAGGGGUGAUUGGGGUCUGUUUGGAGGGUGCACAUAAGAAAUUUAAUGUGUGUAUCAUUGCACGUUUUGCAAAAAAAAAAAAAAAAAACAAAAAAAGAAACAACUGGCGGAUGUUUACAAUUAAUAAAAAACAUUGACAUCGUAUGUUGAUCGUUUUUGCCUGUCAUUCGUUCUUUCUAUGGAUGACCGUCAAGCUAACAAGACAUACAGAACGUUUCAACGUGAUUAACAUUCUGCGUACAACACAAAGCAAAUUUAAUUCCAUCGAUUUGCUAGAUUUAUUCGAACCGAUUUUGUGUUUUUCUGCUGACCGUGCAACACACACAAAGCAACACAGCCACCGGGGACAACACUAACUACCUUUUUCGAGUUGUGUGAAAACGAUGAAUUUGCAAGAACAUUGCUAUAUUCCGAAAUACCACAAUAUUUCACUUGGAAUCCAUCAUCGAAAACAUUUCAACGACGAAAGCAAGGAGAGCGUGUUGACGGUUAUCCAAAUCUCCGUAAAACCGAUGCCAUAAGACACAUUUACACCAUCCAUCCGAACAACGCUGCGGACCAAGAUCAUUUGAUGAUUUGAAAACUGUUGACUGUCAGUUGUGUGCGACGUAUCGUGAAGCAUGUCAGCGAUUGCAUUUGUUAGAAGAUGAUAUGCAUUGGGACACCGCACUUCAUGACGCCACUAUUCGCCAUAAUACUACUACUAUUCGCCAUAAUAAUAUCUACAUGCCUUCCGUCAAAUCCGCAAUAACUGUGGAAUAAGUACAAAGACUGCAUGACCGAGGACUUAUUAAUUUUGGCGCAUAAUCGAGCAUCGGACGCAGACUUGCUAUAUACAUUACAAAUGUAUAACUCUGCUAUGAUAUGCCGUUUGAAUUUAAGCGCUUGCAGUUCCCAGUACGUCUUGCCUUUGCGAUGACCAUCAACAAAUCGCAAGGGCAAACGUUUCAAGUGUGCGGCGUCAAUUUGGAAGAACCGUGCUUCUCCCACGGCCAAUUGUUCGUCGCAUGCUCGAGAGUGGGAACACCAAGGUACUUAUUCAUUUACGCGCCAGGUGGAAAAACCAAAAAUGUUGUAUACCAAUAUGUUUUAUAAAUGUUUUAUAAAUAAGUAACAGUUUUACAACAAUAAAUAAAACACAAAGUAAAAACCCUUAAGAGUUUUAAUCGAUUUAAGUGUAGC
This is an RNA transcript of Bactrocera neohumeralis, 1478 nucleotides long. RefSeq lists it as uncharacterized. The transcript has 4 exons. NCBI's taxonomy places the organism in Eukaryota, Metazoa, Arthropoda, Insecta, Diptera, Tephritidae. The record is from RefSeq and is a predicted model, not a curated record.